GCCCUGGGUGGGCAACGGUAGCGCGUCUGACCCCCAAUCAGAAGGUUGCGUGUUCGAAUCACGCCCGGGGUCA
Non-coding RNA from Trichonephila inaurata madagascariensis, 73 nucleotides. Lineage: Eukaryota; Metazoa; Arthropoda; Arachnida; Araneae; Nephilidae. The record is from the annotation of a GenBank genome assembly.